Molecule: ribosomal RNA, 595 nt
Filed under: Pichia kudriavzevii
Lineage: Eukaryota; Fungi; Ascomycota; Pichiomycetes; Pichiales; Pichiaceae
Description: eukaryotic LSU rRNA
Rfam family: Eukaryotic large subunit ribosomal RNA
Source: RNAcentral
GCAUAUCAAUAAGCGGAGGAAAAGAAACCAACAGGGAUUGCCUCAGUAGCGGCGAGUGAAGCGGCAAGAGCUCAGAUUUGAAAUCGUGCUUUGCGGCACGAGUUGUAGAUUGCAGGUUGGAGUCUGUGUGGAAGGCGGUGUCCAAGUCCCUUGGAACAGGGCGCCCAGGAGGGUGAGAGCCCCGUGGGAUGCCGACGGAAGCAGUGAGGCCCUUCUGACGAGUCGAGUUGUUUGGGAAUGCAGCUCCAAGCGGGUGGUAAAUUCCAUCUAAGGCUAAAUACUGGCGAGAGACCGAUAGCGAACAAGUACUGUGAAGGAAAGAUGAAAAGCACUUUGAAAAGAGAGUGAAACAGCACGUGAAAUUGUUGAAAGGGAAGGGUAUUGCGCCCGACAUGGGGAUUGCGCACCGCUGCCUCUCGUGGGCGGCGCUCUGGGCUUUCCCUGGGCCAGCAUCGGUUCUUGCUGCAGGAGAAGGGGUUCUGGAACGUGGCUCUUCGGAGUGUUAUAGCCAGGGCCAGAUGCUGCGUGCGGGGACCGAGGACUGCGGCCGUGUAGGUCACGGAUGCUGGCAGAACGGCGCAACACCGCCCGUCUU